RNAcentral lists this unclassified non-coding RNA (147 nucleotides) under uncultured fungus. RNAcentral describes it as "sequence contains ITS1". Lineage: Eukaryota; Fungi. The record is from RNAcentral.
UUGACUUUAAUUUCAUUCAGACACAAAUACAUCGCUGCAUAAAUGCGGCGCCGGAGCGCCGAAGCACGGGUCGCUUCCACUGGUUUGAGCGUCGAGGGCGCGUGGCGCCGUUCGAUAAUGAUCCCUCCGCAGGUUCACCUACGGAGA